RNAcentral lists this ribosomal RNA (345 nucleotides) under Escherichia coli. RNAcentral describes it as "partial 23S ribosomal RNA". It matches the Rfam family "Bacterial large subunit ribosomal RNA", at positions 190 to 572 of the family's 2925-position model. The record is from RNAcentral. Lineage: Bacteria; Pseudomonadati; Pseudomonadota; Gammaproteobacteria; Enterobacterales; Enterobacteriaceae.
GAACUGAAACAUCUAAGUACCCCGAGGAAAAGAAAUCAACCGAGAUUCCCCCAGUAGCGGCGAGCGAACGGGGAGCAGCCCAGAGCCUGAAUCAGUGUGUGUGUUAGUGGAAGCGUCUGGAAAGGCGUGCGAUACAGGGUGACAGCCCCGUACACAAAAAUGCACAUACUGUGAGCUCGAUGAGUAGGGCGGGACACGUGGUAUCCUGUCUGAAUAUGGGGGGGACCAUCCUCCAAGGCUAAAUACUCCUGACUGACCGAUAGUGAACCAGUACCGUGAGGGAAAGGCGAAAAGAACCCCGGCGAGGGGAGUGAAAAAGAACCUGAAACCGUGUACGUACAAGCA